This 550-nucleotide ribosomal RNA is filed under the name uncultured Glomeromycotina. RNAcentral's name for it is "SSU rRNA". It matches the Rfam family "Eukaryotic small subunit ribosomal RNA", at positions 548 to 1098 of the family's 1831-position model. The record is from RNAcentral. Lineage: Eukaryota; Fungi; Glomeromycota.
UUGGAGGGCAAGUCUGGUGCCAGCAGCCGCGGUAAUUCCAGCUCCAAUAGCGUAUAUUAAAGUUGUUGCAGUUAAAAAGCUCGUAGUUGAAUUUCGAGAUCGAUGUUUCGGUCAUGCCGUUGGUAUGUACUGAUAUUAUUGAUUUCUCACCUUCUAAAGAACCGUAAUGCCAUUAAUUUGGUGUCACGGGGAAUUAGGACUGUUACCUUGAAAAAAUUAGAGUGUUUAAAGCAGGCUCACGCUUGAAUACAUUAGCAUGGAAUAAUGAAAUAGGACAUCCGAUUCUAUUUUGUUGGUUCCUAGGAUCGAUGUAAUGAUUAAUAGGGAUAGUUGGGGGCAUUAGUAUUCAAUUGUCAGAGGUGAAAUUCUUGGAUUUAUUGAAGACUAACUACUGCGAAAGCAUUUGCCAAGGAUGUUUUCAUUAAUCAAGAACGAAAGUUAGGGGAUCGAAGACGAUCAGAUACCGUCGUAGUCUUAACCAUAAACUAUGCCGACUAGGGAUCGGAUGAUGUUAAAUUUUUAAUGACUCAUUCGGCGCCUUACGGGAAAC